This 495-nucleotide ribosomal RNA is filed under the name uncultured bacterium. Its description in RNAcentral is "bacterial SSU rRNA". It matches the Rfam family "Bacterial small subunit ribosomal RNA", at positions 372 to 883 of the family's 1533-position model. The record is from RNAcentral.
UGGGGGAAACCCUGACGCAGCAACGCCGCGUGGAGGAUGAAGUCCUUCGGGACGUAAACUCCUUUCGAUCGGGACGAUUAUGACGGUACCGGAAGAAGAAGCCCCGGCUAACUUCGUGCCAGCAGCCGCGGUAAUACGAGGGGGGCGAGCGUUGUUCGGAAUUAUUGGGCGUAAAGGGUGCGUAGGCGGUUUGGUAAGUCUGAUGUGAAAUCUAUGGGCUCAACUCAUAGUCUGCAUCGGAAACUGCCGGGCUGGAGUGUGGGAGAGGUGAGUGGAAUUUCCGGUGUAGCGGUGAAAUGCGUAGAUAUCGGAAGGAACACCUGUGGCGAAAGCGGCUCACUGGACCACAACUGACGCUGAUGCACGAAAGCUAGGGGAGCAAACAGGAUUAGAUACCCUGGUAGUCCUAGCCCUAAACGAUGACUGCUUGGUGUGACGGGUACCCAAUCCCGCCGUGCCGUAGCUAACGCGUUAAGCAGUCCGCCUGGGGAGUAC